AAUGAUUGACAUCUAUUUUUGUCUUUCUUAUAUUCAUAUUUUCUUUAACAGUAAGCAUUAUCCUUUUUUCUUUAACAAAACAUUAUUAAAUUCACAAAUAUUUUUAACACUUCCUCAAAAAAAUUAUGGUUUGAUGUACACUUUUUUUUUCUUUUUUAAAUCUAACUUUACUCUUUUAUUUUAUACUUAAAAUACAAAACAAGAUGUGAGAAUAGAAAAUUGCUCUUUUAUAAAAUAAAAAUUACUAUUAAAAUGUGG
Molecule: long non-coding RNA, 258 nt
Filed under: Lathyrus oleraceus (garden pea)
Lineage: Eukaryota; Viridiplantae; Streptophyta; Magnoliopsida; Fabales; Fabaceae
Description: Pisum sativum (pea) long non-coding RNA (PSAT_LNC029816)
Source: RNAcentral